UACGUAGGGUGCAGGCGUUAAUCGGAAUUACUGGGCGUAAAGCGUGCGCAGGCGGUUUCUUAAGUCAGAUGUGAAAGCCCCGGGCUUAACCUGGGAACUGCGUUUGAAACUGGGAGACUUGAGUGUGGCAGAGGGGGGUGGAAUUCCACGUGUAGCAGUGAAAUGCGUAGAUAUGUGGAGGAACACCGAUGGCGAAGGCAGCCCCCUGGGUUGACACUGACGCUCAGGCACGAAAGCGUGGGGAGCAAACAGG
RNAcentral lists this ribosomal RNA (253 nucleotides) under uncultured bacterium. RNAcentral describes it as "partial 16S ribosomal RNA". It matches the Rfam family "Bacterial small subunit ribosomal RNA", at positions 524 to 776 of the family's 1533-position model. The record is from RNAcentral.